This 158-nucleotide ribosomal RNA is filed under the name Dothideomycetes sp. RNAcentral describes it as "5.8S ribosomal RNA". It matches the Rfam family "5.8S ribosomal RNA". Rfam says of the family: 5.8S ribosomal RNA (5.8S rRNA) is a component of the large subunit of the eukaryotic ribosome. It is transcribed by RNA polymerase I as part of the 45S precursor that also contains 18S and 28S rRNA. Lineage: Eukaryota; Fungi; Ascomycota; Dothideomycetes. The record is from RNAcentral.
AAACUUUCAACARCGGAUCUCUUGGUUCUGGCAUCGAUGAAGAACGCAGCGAAAUGCGAUAAGUAGUGUGAAUUGCAGAAUUCAGUGAAUCAUCGAAUCUUUGAACGCACAUUGCGCCCCUUGGUAUCCCGAGGGGCAUGCCUGUUCGAGCGUCAUUU